Molecule: long non-coding RNA, 1269 nt
Organism: Belonocnema kinseyi
Lineage: Eukaryota; Metazoa; Arthropoda; Insecta; Hymenoptera; Cynipidae
Exons: 4
Source: RefSeq, a predicted model, not a curated record
AAGAAUGUGGCUUUUGUUUCUAACUUUCUCAAUGUCAAAACACGUGGCCAUCCGUUAAUCAAUUUUUUCAAAUAAUUGAAAAUUUUCUAUACUUUCACAUUUUCAAUCCCCAUGGAAGUGUGUUGGUUGUAUGAAGAAGCAGCAUCCUCUUAUCAUCUCGCCAGCAGAGAGCAAUCUUGUUUUGCUUAAUCGAGUGAACUUCAUGUUUUCGGCUUCCAAUUAACUGUUGUGGUCGAGUAACAGUUUGAUAAUGUAACAAAGUUUGCUUGUAGUCAUCAAACGUGAGAGUAAAUAGUUCGAUGCUAAUAGGAAUCUGCAGAAGCUCAUCAAGACUAAGAUGUUUACUAACAAAGAUAAGAGAAACUCGAUGAAGGAUUGGAGUUUCGGUUCUGGGGAAGGUCUUCCUGAGGAACUCUAGCAUUAGAGAGGAUGAUAAACAUCAAAUUUGGGAGCACAAGGCGUUUUCCGAACAUCCUGAUUGGAGCUGGAAACAUGAUAACCGGAACUUAGUAUCCAAGAUGUCUUGUGAGAAAGCCUCCAAGAGGCUGCGGGUCCUAUUUGCUAGGGCAAAAAGAUUGGGCAUCUCCGUCGAAGAAGUGGCUGAUUUACCCACUGCUAAAAAAUUGACGACUGCUAGAGUUACUUCUUUCACGUGGACCAUUCUUGCUACAAUCGUUGUCAUUAUUCUCGGUGGAAGCCUGUUCUUUAUUUAUCUCUGCAGUCCUUGCACUGGUAGAAGGAUCGUCCAUGAUGUCAGAACGGAUCCUUAGAUUCGAAAGUUGGAGAAUUCCUCUUUUGGAAGGAAGUGUUCAAGUGAUGGGGACUAUCCUCAACGUUCAUAGCACAAUAAUGACUGAUGAAAUUUUGUGGAAAUUGUAUAAAAUAAGUGAAAAAAAACUUUACGAAGUGUGAUAAGUAUGUAUUAUUAAAUAAUUUUAAUAAAUACAUAUGAAGUACGAUAGUGUACGAUAGCAUUAUAAUUUUCAUUCUAAUAUGAAGCUUACAUAAUGUCUCUUAUUACUGACUUCAAAUACACAGUUUUAACAAUUAUAAAUUAACAAAAUAAACUUAUUGUCUUUAUUUAUUAUCGGCUUAAUGGUUUAAUAAGAAGGCAUGAUAACUUUUGGAAUUAAAAAUAAGAUUUCGUGUUUCGAAAUACCUAGAGAGUCUUUUUGGAUUAAUAAGUGUAAACUUCAUUUAAAAAAAUGAAAUUUUAAAAAAAUAUUAGUAAAAAGUAUUAAUUUAUUUUUAAUUUCAAAAGAAAGUAUG